This 62-nucleotide ribosomal RNA is filed under the name Escherichia coli. Its description in RNAcentral is "partial 16S ribosomal RNA". Lineage: Bacteria; Pseudomonadati; Pseudomonadota; Gammaproteobacteria; Enterobacterales; Enterobacteriaceae. The record is from RNAcentral.
UUAAAUUGAAGAGUUUGAUCAUGGCUCAGAUUGAACGCUGGCGGCAGGCCCAACACAUGCAA